Rhagoletis pomonella (apple maggot) is the source of this 1047-nucleotide long non-coding RNA. RefSeq lists it as uncharacterized. NCBI's taxonomy places the organism in Eukaryota, Metazoa, Arthropoda, Insecta, Diptera, Tephritidae. The record is from RefSeq and is a predicted model, not a curated record. The transcript has 2 exons.
UUUCCCAUUUAAAAGUGAAAUAAAGCAAAUUUUGCGUUAUUGCCGUUUGUGUUAUUUCAACCCCCCCAAAGGCUGUAUCUCAUUGCUUUGAAUAACCACGCCCACCUCUCAUAUAAUGGUAAGAAUCAAUAACUUCUGAGGCUAAUUCACUCAAAAUCGACGCUUGCAAUAACCUCUUAGCAGAAAAUUAGACCAAAAACGUGUAUCCCGGUAACAAAUGUAUCAAUUUCUACCAAACUCGGAGGAUUUAGUUACCUUGGUACGGAAGAGCAACAUGUUGAAGAUUUUUGAAAUUGGACUAAAAUUACACCCGCUUCCCAUAAAACGGUAAACUUUGGAAAUACGAAGACUCUGAUAUUUCAAUAUAACUGAGGACGCCAAUUUACGCCGAGUUAAUAGGUGCUUAUAACAAUCUCUUAAUAAAAAAAUAAGGCUGUUAUAGGAUUUUAGGAAAUGGGCGUGCUACCACCCACACAUUAUUAUAACUUGCAAAUAUUAAACCUCAGCAGAAAGUAAUUCAUAUUUCAUUUCAGAUCCCAAAACACGGCAUCUCAUACAAAGGAAGUACAAAUCUAAGCUGGUACCAGUUGAAUACAUCCUUCAUCAUUUCAUUCGCGUACUGUCAAUCGCCUACGACAUUCAUCUACGGGAAAGAGAAACUCGCGAAUAGCGAAAGCUCAGCGUAGCUGGUAAGGAGAAUAAUGAACUAGAAGAAGCUGAGAAUGAUGAAUGAACACCAACAGCUGAGCCAGCGUGCGCAUACGACAGCCAGAACUGAGAUAAUUUUUUAACAAUAAUAUUGCAACUGUGAUAAAUCAAAAGUGGGCUGAAACACCAUGCUCAGCUGAUUUCUGCACGAUAACUAGAAAAUCAAAAUAUAUACUGAAAUGCAAUAGAAUCUUUUUGGAACGAAGUAAUUUAAGUGCAACCAGUCGGCACAUUCUCUAAACAAAAAAAGCAAACAAGGAAACAUUAACUAAUAGUUAUAAAGUAAACGUAGUUGCCUUUUAAUGCCAAGCAAAUAAAAAACCGAUGCAAUCUUCAAAA